Molecule: ribosomal RNA, 640 nt
Filed under: uncultured bacterium
Lineage: Bacteria
Description: bacterial SSU rRNA
Rfam family: Bacterial small subunit ribosomal RNA
Source: RNAcentral
AGCGGCGCGCUUAACACAUGCAAGUCGAGCGAGAAAGGGUUUCGGCCCCGGUAAAGCGGCGCACGGGUGAGUAAUACGUAGGUAAUUCGCCCUUGGGUGGUGGAUAACUUUCCGAAAGGAAGGCUAAUACAGCAUGAGACCACGGUUUCGAAAGAGACUGAGGUCAAAGCCGGCCUCUUCAUGAAAGCUGGCGCCUGAGGAUGAGCCUGCGGCCCAUCAGCUAGUUGGUAGGGUAAUGGCCUACCAAGGCAAAGACGGGUAGCUGGUCUGAGAGGAUGAUCAGCCACACUGGAACUGAGACACGGUCCAGACUCCUACGGGAGGCAGCAGUGGGGAAUCUUGCGCAAUGGGCGAAAGCCUGACGCAGCGACGCCGCGUGAGUGAUGAAGGCCUUCGGGUUGUAAAGCUCUGUGGAGGGGGACGAAUAAGGGUUGGCGAACACCCAACUCGAUGACGGUACCUCUUUAGCAAGCACCGGCUAACUCUGUGCCAGCAGCCGCGGUAAGACAGAGGGUGCAAACGUUGUUCGGAAUUACUGGGCGUAAAGCGCGUGUAGGCGGCUCGGAAAGUCGGAUGUGAAAGCCCUGGGCUCAACCUAGGAAGUGCAUUCGAAACUCCCGAGCUGGAGUCCUGGAGAGGA